AAAAAGACAAACCCUAGGUUUCCAUGUCCAACUUUGACUAUCCGUCUUAUAUGAAAUUUUUUUAUAAUUUAUAUUUUCAUUGUUGUUAGAUGAUAAAACAUAAUUAAUAUUUUAUGCGUGACUUGUCUUUUUAAUUUUUUUCAUAAUUUUUCCAAAUAAGACUGAUGAUCAAACAUUGGGCACAGAAACCAGGGUUUGUCUUUUU
Non-coding RNA from Oryza barthii, 205 nucleotides. The record is from Rfam. NCBI's taxonomy places the organism in Eukaryota, Viridiplantae, Streptophyta, Magnoliopsida, Poales, Poaceae.